This 498-nucleotide ribosomal RNA is filed under the name uncultured bacterium. RNAcentral describes it as "partial 16S ribosomal RNA". It matches the Rfam family "Bacterial small subunit ribosomal RNA", at positions 899 to 1397 of the family's 1533-position model. The record is from RNAcentral.
ACUCAAAUGAAUUGACGGGGGCCCGCACAAGCGGUGGAGCAUGUGGUUUAAUUCGAUGCAACGCGAAGAACCUUACCUACUCUUGACAUCCAGAGAACUUAGCAGAGAUGCUUUGGUGCCUUCGGGAACUCUGAGACAGGUGCUGCAUGGCUGUCGUCAGCUCGUGUUGUGAAAUGUUGGGUUAAGUCCCGCAACGAGCGCAACCCUUAUCCUUUGUUGCCAGCGGUUCGGCCGGGAACUCAAAGGAGACUGCCAGUGAUAAACUGGAGGAAGGUGGGGAUGACGUCAAGUCAUCAUGGCCCUUACGAGUAGGGCUACACACGUGCUACAAUGGCAUAUACAAAGAGAAGCGACCUCGCGAGAGCAAGCGGACCUCACAAAGUAUGUCGUAGUCCGGAUCGGAGUCUGCAACUCGACUCCGUGAAGUCGGAAUCGCUAGUAAUCGUAGAUCAGAAUGCUACGGUGAAUACGUUCCCGGGCCUUGUACACACCGCCCGU